AAGGAGUAACUGUUUACCCAGUGACGGUAUUUAACCCAGAAAGCCACGGCUAACUACGUGCCAGCAGCCGCGGUAAUACGUAGGUGGCAAGCGUUAUCCCGGAUUUAUUGGGCGUAAAGCGAGCGCAGGCGGUCUUUUAAGUCUAAUGUGAAAGCCUUCGGCUCAACCGAAGAAGUGCAUUGGAAACUGGGAGACUUGAGUGCAGAAGAGGACAGUGGAACUCCAUGUGUAGCGGUGAAAUGCGUAGAUAUAUGGAAGAACACCAGUGGCGAAGGCGGCUGUCUGGUCUGCAACUGACGCUGAGGCUCGAAAGCAUGGGUAGCGAACAGGAUUAGAUACCCUGGUAGUCCAUGCCGUAAACGAUGAUUACUAAGUGUUGGAGGGUUUCCGCCCUUCAGUGCUGCAGCUAACGCAUUAAGUAAUCCGCCUGGGGAGUACGACCGCAAGGUUGAAACUCAAAAGAAUUGACGGGGGCCCGCACAAGCGGUGGAGCAUGUGGUUUAAUUCGAAGCUACGCGAAGAACCUUACCAGGUCUUGACAUCUUCUGACAGUCUAAGAGAUUAGAGGUUCCCUUCGGGGACAGAAUGACAGGUGGUGCAUGGUUGUCGUCAGCUCGUGUCGUGAGAUGUUGGGUUAAGUCCCGCAACGAGCGCAACCCUUAUUACUAGUUGCCAGCAUUAAGUUGGGCACUCUAGUGAGACUGCCGGUGACAAACCGGAGGAAGGUGGGGACGACGUCAAAUCAUCAUGCCCCUUAUGACCUGGGCUACACACGUGCUACAAUGGAUGGUACAACGAGUCGCGAGACCGCGAGGUUAAGCUAAUCUCUUAAAACCAUUCUCAGUUCGGACUGUAGGCUGCAACUCGCCUACACGAAGUCGGAAUCGCUAGUAAUCGCGGAUCAGCAUGCCGCGGUGAAUACGUUCCCGGGCCUUGUACACACCGCCCGUCACACCAUGAGAGUUUGUAACACCCAAAGCCGGUGGGGUAACCUUUUAGGAGCUAGCCGUCUAAGGUGGGACAGAUGAUUAGGGUGAAGUCGAACAAGUGCCGGUGCU
RNAcentral lists this ribosomal RNA (1058 nucleotides) under Pediococcus pentosaceus. Its description in RNAcentral is "bacterial SSU rRNA". It matches the Rfam family "Bacterial small subunit ribosomal RNA", at positions 444 to 1506 of the family's 1533-position model. Lineage: Bacteria; Bacillati; Bacillota; Bacilli; Lactobacillales; Lactobacillaceae. The record is from RNAcentral.